UCUGUCUGUCCGUAUAUAUUUCCUUUCCACAGGACUCCUGGUUUGGUAUAUGCAUGUUGCAGUAGCCCCACUGCAACACUACAGCACAUAAGAAUAAACAGCUACUCAAAGUUGGUUAAAGCAUGUAUUCUUCACCCAGAGGACCAAAUCAUCGGCAAGCUGAUGGGCCAUAAAGCAAAGUGAGUAUCCAGGCAGGUAUUUAAGGUAUGUAUCAUUCAGGCAGUAGAACACAGUGAGUCCUGCAAAGAGGAAUUAUGGGCUAUUAUGUUUAUAAUAGAGACUCGGGCAAUACUAGAGGUGUACCCUACUUACCUUAGGUGCCUAAUGAACAAUCUUCUUAGAUGUCAUUAUUGUGAAUUCACAGAAGCUGCCUUCCAGUGGAAAGGCAAUCUCCAUGCCUUGGUUUCUUGAAAUCAGUUAAUCCUGUUUUUAUUGAGCAGUGUGGGACAAUCUCAUUCGCUGGACUUGUUGUGGUGGUCAAGGCCACCACAGAAGUGACCAAGGAGCCACCAGACCGAAGAACAGUGGAAAUCUGCUGGUGGGCAGGUACCAAUGUACAGAAGUGCCACAGUAGUCACAGCGAGUUCCCAUAGUCCUUCGUCGUGAUAUGUAGAUUACUCCCAGUUAGUUGGCCCAUUGGCCUACCGCCCCCUUUCUUCCCUAUAAGUCUUAGUUCCAGAAUGUUCUCCCCUCCUCAACACCCCAUUGGUUGUUGUAUCCCAACUCCUCCCUCCAUGUUUCCCCGUUGGUUUGUGUACCCUGGACCCCCCUGUGCUGCUCCCCUCCGCUCUUUCUCCAUUGGUCUCUGGCCCUCUCUCUGCCCCUUCUCCUCCCCAUACUUAAUUCCUGGACGCUGUGAUAUCCAGGCUCUUUGCCCCUGGAUCCCUUAAUGUAUGGAAUAAACUCUGUCCGUGGAACUCCACACAAA
This is a long non-coding RNA of Corvus hawaiiensis (hawaiian crow), 928 nucleotides long. RefSeq lists it as uncharacterized. Lineage: Eukaryota; Metazoa; Chordata; Aves; Passeriformes; Corvidae. The transcript has 2 exons. The record is from RefSeq and is a predicted model, not a curated record.